This 510-nucleotide ribosomal RNA is filed under the name uncultured bacterium. RNAcentral describes it as "bacterial SSU rRNA". It matches the Rfam family "Bacterial small subunit ribosomal RNA", at positions 8 to 526 of the family's 1533-position model. The record is from RNAcentral.
AGAGUUUGAUCAUGGCUCAGGACGAACGCUGGCGGCGUGCCUAACACAUGCAAGUCAAAGGAAAGUAGCAAUAUGAGUACUUGGCGCAAGGGUGCGUAAUAUAUAGGUAAUCUGCCUUUCGGUUUGGCAUAACUCCGUGAAAACGGAGAUAAUACCAGAUGAUAUAGCUGUUCCGCAUGGAACUGGUUAUCAAAGAUUUAUCGCCGAAAGAUGAGCCUGUAUCCCAUUAGGCAGUUGGCGGGGUAACGGCCCACCAAACCUACGAUGGGUAGCUGGUCUGAGAGGAUGAUCAGCCACACUGGAACUGAGACACGGUCCAGACUCCUACGGGAGGCAGCAGUGAGGAAUAUUGCUCAAUGGAGGAAACUCUGAAGCAGCAACGCCGCGUGAACGAUGACGGCCUUCGGGUUGUAAAGUUCUUUUAUAGGGGACGAAUAUGCUGCUUUGCGGCACUGACGGUACUCUAUGAAUAAGACACGGCUAACUCUGUGCCAGCCGCCGCGGUAAUUC